RNAcentral lists this ribosomal RNA (117 nucleotides) under Danio rerio (zebrafish). Lineage: Eukaryota; Metazoa; Chordata; Actinopteri; Cypriniformes; Danionidae. The record is from RNAcentral.
UGCCACAGCCAUAUCACCCUGCAGCCCAAGACCGGUUACUCACUGAAGCUAAGCAGGGCUGAGCCUGGUUAGUACCUAGUUGUGAGACCACUUGUAAAAACUAGGUUGCUGUUGGAA